GGCUGGUCCAAGGGUAAUGAGUUAUCUCAAUUGAUUGUUCACUGUCCGUUACAGAUCCAACUCAUUCUACUCUUUCUCCCCUCCUCACUACUGCACUUGACUAGUCUUAA
Molecule: Y RNA, 110 nt
Filed under: Carlito syrichta (Philippine tarsier)
Lineage: Eukaryota; Metazoa; Chordata; Mammalia; Primates; Tarsiidae
Description: Y RNA (ENSTSYG00000027571.1)
Rfam family: Y RNA
About the family: Y RNAs are components of the Ro ribonucleoprotein particle (Ro RNP), in association with Ro60 and La proteins. The Y RNAs and Ro60 and La proteins are well conserved, but the function of the Ro RNP is not known. In humans the RNA component can be one of four small RNAs -- hY1, hY3, hY4 and hY5.
Source: Rfam by way of RNAcentral